GCUGGGCGUGGUGGUGCACGCCUGUAAUCUCAGCAGCUUGGGAGGCUGAGACAGGAGGAGUGUAAGUUCAAAGCUAGCUAAGCAACUCAGUGAGACCCUGUCUCUA
This 106-nucleotide small RNA is filed under the name Marmota monax (woodchuck). The record is from RNAcentral. Lineage: Eukaryota; Metazoa; Chordata; Mammalia; Rodentia; Sciuridae.